RNAcentral lists this ribosomal RNA (317 nucleotides) under uncultured bacterium. Its description in RNAcentral is "bacterial SSU rRNA". It matches the Rfam family "Bacterial small subunit ribosomal RNA", at positions 28 to 334 of the family's 1533-position model. The record is from RNAcentral.
GAUGAACGCUGGCGGCGUGCCUAAUACAUGCAAGUCGAGCGAACAGAUAAGGAGCUUGCUCCUUUGACGUUAGCGGCGGACGGGUGAGUAACACGUGGGUAACCUACCUAUAAGACUGGGAUAACUUCGGGAAACCGGAGCUAAUACCGGAUAAUAUUUCGAACCGCAUGGUUCGAUAGUGAAAGAUGGUUUUGCUAUCACUUAUAGAUGGACCCGCGCCGUAUUAGCUAGUUGGUAAGGUAACGGCUUACCAAGGCGACGAUACGUAGCCGACCUGAGAGGGUGAUCGGCCACACUGGAACUGAGACACGGUCCAG